Molecule: ribosomal RNA, 198 nt
Filed under: uncultured bacterium
Lineage: Bacteria
Description: partial 16S ribosomal RNA
Rfam family: Bacterial small subunit ribosomal RNA
Source: RNAcentral
GGCUGAAAUUCGCCUUCCAUGAAGCUGGAAUUGCUAGUAAUGGCAGGUCAGCAUACUGCCGUGAAUACGUUCCCGGGCCUUGUACACACCGCCCGUCACACCAUGAGAGUUGGAAAUACCCGAAGCCUGUGAGCUAACUUAAAGAGGCAGCAGUCGAAGGUAGAGCCAAUGAUUGGGGUGAAGUCGUAACAAGGUAAC